AUAUUAAAUUAAAAAGUUGUUUCAAAUCCAACUAAAUAAAUUUUAAAUUCAUAUACUUACAGUUGCCAAUUCAAAUCAAAAUACACAUAAUAACUAAACCAAAAAAAAACAAAUAAAUGCCUAAUUUCAUCAGCUUCCGUUCUCUUCGUCAGUUCUUCCAUAAUGCCGAUGUAUGUCAGGGUUGAUCUCCAUAGUCUUCUUACUAGAUAUGUAGCCAGUCAUACCGUUAUCUCUCAAGGCCUGAGCCUUCAUAAUCCUCUCCACAUAUUUGUAGUCUAACUAUACUCACCAGUGACCAAACAACAAGUAACCUAUUAAGCUAAACAUCUUCGUAUCAUAUAAAAUACCAAUCAAAGAAUAAAACCAUAUUCAAUUCUAAAGAAAACAAUGACAUAGUGUAAAUGUAACACAAUAUAAGGACCAAAUGAACAUCACGACUUUCAUCAUUCUCAAUCUGAAUAAGGUAAUAACAUUCAUCAACAACCAAAUUAUCAUAAAACAUAAAGGCAAUAAAAGGAUAAAUAAAAAAUUAAAAUAUACCAGAGAAAGGUUAGAAGUAGCAUCUUCCAAUAUAAGUUAUUUUUUUCCAUUGUAAUAUGGUAAUCCUCAUCAUGUGCAACUGUAUUUAUCUGCAAGUAAAUAAAUUUUUUUAAGGGCUUCAAUAUAUUAUAAUUUGAGAUUUUGCAAUACUUUUUUAAAUUAAAAAAUAGAAAAAAUGAGACUUAAUCAUCCAUUUAUCAUUCAAAUUAUAAAAUAGAUUUUCUAAAUCUAAACAAUUUAAUAGUAAAUAACUAGCAACAAACCUAUGGCUAGUUGAAAUCAAUGAA
Molecule: non-coding RNA, 827 nt
Organism: Arachis ipaensis
Lineage: Eukaryota; Viridiplantae; Streptophyta; Magnoliopsida; Fabales; Fabaceae
Source: RefSeq, a predicted model, not a curated record